UACGUAGGUGGCAAGCGUUGUCCGGAUUUAUUGGGCGUAAAGCGAGCGCAGGCGGUUCCUUAAGUCUGAUGUGAAAGCCCACGGCUCAACCGUGGAAGGUCAUUGGAAACUGGGGAACUUGAGUGCAGAAGAGGAGAGUGGAAUUCCAUGUGUAGCGGUGAAAUGCGUAGAUAUAUGGAGGAACACCAGUGGCGAAGGCGACUCUCUGGUCUGUAACUGACGCUGAGGUGCGAAAGCGUGGGUAGCAAACAGGAUUAGAUA
This 261-nucleotide ribosomal RNA is filed under the name uncultured prokaryote. RNAcentral describes it as "partial 16S ribosomal RNA". It matches the Rfam family "Bacterial small subunit ribosomal RNA", at positions 524 to 784 of the family's 1533-position model. The record is from RNAcentral.